RNAcentral lists this long non-coding RNA (5125 nucleotides) under Astyanax mexicanus (Mexican tetra). Its description in RNAcentral is "lncRNA (ENSAMXG00005017022.1)". The record is from RNAcentral. Lineage: Eukaryota; Metazoa; Chordata; Actinopteri; Characiformes; Acestrorhamphidae.
AGCAGGUGGGCGGAGUCAGGCCCAUGAGGGAGGGGCUGUAAAAACACACUCCUCUUCAUAUGAAGUGGCUGAGUCUGCAGUAUCCCCGCCUGUCCGUCAGCAGGAGCUCCACACCAGCAUCUCCUCACCCGCCUGAAGAAAUCCAAAAACAUGGAAUUCUGGGAUGGAAGAGAGAGGCAUGCAUCGCCAUAUGGAAAGUACAGAACUGUUCCUGGGUGGAGCUCAUCCUCACACAUAUAUCCUAGCAAGACUCCUGCAGCACCCAACCCAGAGCCCAGAGCUGAGUACCAGGGCUGGAUGAGUCAACCAAGCAGUUGGAUGAUUCCAGGGUCGAGAACUGCUGGGACUAUGAGAGACUAUGUAAACUGGACUGACAUAGCACCUUCAUCACGCUGUCCUCCUGAAAAUCUGCACUGCCCUCAAGAGUUAGCUACUACAUACAGUGGUCAGGAGAGAGGUUUAGACGGACAGAGUGUUCUGUCAGACCGACACAGAGAAAAGGAGAGGCUGGUACAAAGAGGGCAGUUGGCAAAUAAAUGGCAAACUUGCAGUUCAACUCUUCACCGAAAAGAAAAGGAAAAACUUAGUGCCAACAGUUUUCGAGAGCUGGAGGCUUGGGCCAACCGUUAUUACCACUCUCUGCCCAGACAAAGGCAUCUAGAAGCAGGGAAGUGGAAUGCAACUCAGAACUUUCCGGAAUGUGAAAGGAUGUCAAGGCCUGCAAGGAAGAUAGUUGGUCCAGAUCCCAACCAACUGCCCCCUGCAAACACUUCUGUCCCACAUAAUCAAGAAAAGAGCAACCUCAAUAACAGACUGAGGGCUCAGUUGGAGGCUUGGAAGGCACAGCAACUACCUUCUUAUGUACCAGCAAAGCAGAGUCCUUCAAGGAAGAAUACAGUCCUGAGCCAAUCUUUCAGCCAUCCCCCAAAUUACAUGUCCCCACCACCAUACAGUGGUCCACAGGAUACAAACAUCAUGCAGGUACCUGGACAAUGCACAGCAAAGGCCAGGGCUGAACCCAUGAUGGAGUACAGAGUUGAGAGCAGACCGGUUACCUCUGCAUUUCCUGUGCCAAGAACAUCAGAUCAUUCCUUUGUCCCCUCGAUGGAGGGAAGACAACACAUAGCACAUCCAUCAAAUGAUGGGAUCUCAAGAAAUUUAGAUUUGACUUACCCUGAAGCAGAUCAAGCCAGGAAACAGCAAAUGCUGUUAAGCACACUUGCAAAAUCCCUUGCUGUUAAACAGCAGGCAGUCCAGAAGCAAGAGGCUGCCAUGCCACAAGAAUCAUCACAUCAGAUCUCUGAGAAAAAUCAGAUGUCCUACUUGGAUGAUGCGCUCCCCCAGCAGUGCAAACCCAAAAAAAGAAGAGGUGGAGAGACAGUGUUUUGCUUGGUCUCUCGUAUGGGUGAACUAGCUGGAUUGUCCAGUUCCCCUGAUGAACCACUCAAAUCCCACUCGCUGCCUCUUCUAAACGUCCCAACUCCUGGAGGUACAAAAGCAAAGCAGAGUUGUGAAAGGCAGCAAGAAAGCCAAGAGCCAGUUAAGCUGGCAGAUGAAGUCGAUUCUGAAUCUUUAAUGCCCCAUAAAGUAGAGGAAGUUAUAUCUGAAAGAAAUCAAGACAAGACUUCUGAGCAGAUCUUAACAGAUCAGGAAGUUACCAACAAAGAAAGACUACAGAGAGAAAUUCAGGAGACUUUGUUGGCAAAACAUACUGUAAAACAAUGCUUUCAAACUAUCAAAGAAAGUGAAGACCCUAAAACCAGUGUACCUUAUAAGGUAGAAGGAAGUAUUGAUCCUUGUGUAUCCUCUGAAUCUCCUCUAGCACCUGAGACAACCGAGAGCCUGGUGGCACCACACAGUAAUCAAACCACAGUAAAAUUCCCUGUAUGGAAGGAACCAAAACGGCACAACUGCUCAAAAGAAAAGCCAAACAAAGAUAUUAGUAAUGUAGGCCAAAAAGAAGAAGCAACUGACGCACAACCAAAGCAAUCAGAAGUCAGACAUAAUAUUAACACAAUCAAAGACAAGAACAGAGGUCUUGUGGUCAUAGAUGCUACUUGCGUUGUCGUUAAAGUUGAGUUCAUCUUUCCUCCUGAAAAGGAGCAUGUCCAGUACGUGUGUUCACGUUCAAGUGACUCAUAUGAACACAGCUCAGAAUCUCUGAACCUUCAAGUCCAAAAUGAUGACCACAGUAACAAUGAUACAAUAGGUGCAAUGGAGAAAAGUUCUGUUGCAAACAAUUUGCAGGAAGUUCACGUGCAAAUCCAAGAGAAGCACGAUGAUGAUUUGAGGAACAGAAGUCCAAUAAAUGUUUUGAGUGAUAUAGUUCUUAAAGAUCCAAACCAAAUUCCAAAUGAGGUCAUUUCUGAAAAUGAAACUCUCAAGGAAAGAGCAGAAAGGAUUCUUGGAAUUACAUUCCAGAAUUCCAGCAAUGAAGGGCAUACACUGGAUGAGCUGCCUCAAAUGUCCGAAACAAAAGAGGAUCUCCAAAGGAUUCAAGAGGAGCCAGAGGGAUGUUCUGUAGCUGAAGUUGAUGUUGUCAGGAACACGGAAAGUCAGUUGAUUGGAGAGGAAUCAUCUGAUAAUCUUGAACCCCCAACAAAGGAGACCUCAGGGUUGAUGACGAGUACCGAAGGGAUUCUAGAAGAAUCGGAGGUGAAUCUCGGAGAUAGUGUAAAGACACUUCAAACACAUGAGGUCAUUGCAGUUGAAGUUACUAAACAGGAAAAUGAAGACACUUCAAAAGACGAUAAAGCUAUGCUGCAAGAAAUUUUUACAACACAGAAUACAGAAGCUGAGUCAAGAUCCAAUUCUGACAUUGAAACUAUCCAAUAUCUGAACAAUAGUUUAGAGGGCAAAGUCAACAGAUGUACCUCUAAUGAAACAAGUGGCACAAAUGUUCUCCUUUUAUCUUUCUUUGAUGACUGUGUGGAAAAAACAACCCAGUCUUUCCACCAAGAAGGUAGUCCCAGAGAGGGUAAUCCAUUGUGUGAAACAGGUGAUGAAAAUAACACCUACUCAACCCUCCCAGAUGAUUUGGUUGAAGACAGUUGUAAGAUUCAUACCCAGGAAGAAACUCCAGGUGAGGGCAUUCUCUCAAAUGACCUGCAGAUUUUUUGCCCAACCCUAAUUCAAGACUUACCUGAGGAGGGUGACUCUUUAUUAGAAAUGGGUGACAGCUAUGAUGAACACAAUGAAUCAUUUGACAAAGAAGGAACCUCCAGAGACAGUGGGACUUCAAAUGCAACUGAUGAUGUAGGCAAUCAAAUGGAAACCUUUAUGGAGACUGCUGGUGAAUUCAUUGGGCAAAGAGAUGCUACCAGCCUUUCAGAUAAAAACGAUGACAAAAAGAAUACCUGCUCUCUUCUUGGCCACUCUGUAGAGGGCACAAUUGAGCCGGAAUUUAGCCAAGAAGGUACCCUCUUUAAUGAACCAGAUGACCUGCAGAACAUUUGUCCAUCCGUUCUUGGCAAAUCUUUGGAAGGCCCUAGUGAAAUAGUUAUUCAAGAAGCUCCUAGUUCCAAGGAGGACGUCCCGUCAAAUCCAUUUGGAGAGAAAGAUCCAGGGGAGUGCAUCCCCUUAGAUGAAAUGGAUAGCAUUGAAAAUGUACGUUCAGGCUUCUUUGAUGACCAUGUAGAAGACAAUUGUCAGAGAUACUGUCCAGAGCAAAGUGUAGAGGAUGCCAACGAGUCAAAUAAAGCUGUUAGUAGCUCUGUGAAAGAUUUGAAUGAUCAAGAAAGUAAACCCAAAGAAAGUUCCCAGUCAACUGAACAAGAUGAUGCCAGCGUUCCUGGUCUAGUUCUGCAUCUUGACUCUAGCAAACCAUAUAGCAAAGAGGGUGGGCUCAUGGAGGGUAACCUCUCAGAUGAAGCAGAUGGCACAAGGAUUCCUUGUCCAAUUUUUUGUAACUCUGAUGAAAAUAAAAGUCAGUUGGUAACUGAACAAGAAGACAGUUACCAAGCAUUUGGAACCUCAGAUAAAACCGAUACUGUACAGAACCUUCAUGGAACUCUUCAUGGAAGUUUUGAGAAAGACUUGCUUGAGUUGUCUUGCCAGGAAAGCAGAUCCAACAAGGAUAGCCUCUUGAAUGAAACAGAGGAUGUGAACAUAAUGGACCAUGGAGAUAUCUCACUUCUGGCACUUUCAGCACUUUAUUGUUCCACUCUGCAUGAACAAGAGUCAACUUCCCAGUCACCUCCUGAAUCUCUGUCACCCUGUUUGUCUGAAUCUUCUCAAAAGCUGAACAAAUGUUGUUUAUUGACACCAUCACUUCUUGAGACUUCUUGUUCAAGUUCACAAUCUGAACAUCAGAAUGAAUUAUUGUCGCUUUUCUCUUUUCAAACUGACAUCAACCCUUCAACUCUACCAACUCCAGAUUGUUCUGAUCACUCUCGACUUCUGGAGAGCUGCUCUCAGACUGGUAACAUUCACUGUGAGGUCUGGUCUCCAACUUCUUCCACGUCAACAAAAUGCACGAAAAAGCAGUAUCCCAAAUCAUUGUGGGACGCAGUGAACCGCAUUCGUAAACACACCGCACCUGAUUCAGAAACCGAAGACGAGGAGAGCGGAGUUGAACUUUGGGAACAAAUGGAAAACACCGUUGUGGAAGAUCACUUAACUGAUGACACGGAGGUGCAACUGCAGGAAUCUGUCCUGGAAGAGGGAAGAAUAGGUGACAUUAUUGAACGUAAUGAUGAUAAAGAGCAAAAUUCACCAGCAAAAGUCUCCAUCGUAUCUGAUAUGUAUCUGGUAGAUGGGACUAUCGAGAAAGGCAUUCCAUUAGAGGAACAGGGACAUUUGGACGAGGUCGAGAGGACAGUAGACGUAGGUCAACCUGAAGAUGAUACUCUGUCCAGCAGCAGCCUGGACAGUCACGAUUCAAACAACACAGUUAUUGAGGGAGAGGGAAAUGAAAAAAUAUUGGAAAGUGAUACAGAAGAAGAUGGGAACAAUGAGGAAGUACUUCAGACACCUUAUUUGAUCAAUAAGAAUAAAGGAAUUUCCAGUGAAAAGCUGGAUUUAUCCAGUGUCUUGGAGGAAGAUGACAACUGUGAGAUUUCUGCGGUUUUCAAAGAUAAUCAAUAAGAUAAAUAAAAUGCAAAAUAUAUAUAUGUUAUUAAGUUAU